Molecule: ribosomal RNA, 497 nt
Filed under: uncultured bacterium
Lineage: Bacteria
Description: partial 16S ribosomal RNA
Rfam family: Bacterial small subunit ribosomal RNA
Source: RNAcentral
GACGAACGCUGGCGGCGUGCCUAAUACAUGCAAGUUGAGCGAUGAAGAUUGGUGCUUGCACCAAUUUGAAGAGCAGCGAACGGGUGAGUAACGCGUGGGGAAUCUGCCUUUGAGCGGGGGACAACAUUUGGAAACGAAUGCUAAUACCGCAUAACAACUUUAGACAUAAGUUUUAAGUUUGAAAGAUGCAAUUGCAUCACUCAAAGAUGAUCCCGCGUUGUAUUAGCUAGUUGGUGAGGUAAAGGCUCACCAAGGCGAUGAUACAUAGCCGACCUGAGAGGGUGAACGGCCACAUUGGGACUGAGACACGGCCCAAACUCCUACGGGAGGAAGCAGUAGGGAAUCUUCGGCAAUGGACGAAAGUCUGACCGAGCAACGCCGCGUGAGUGAAGAAGGGUUUCGGAUCGAAAAACUCUGUUGGUAGAGAAGAACGUUGGUGAGAGUGGAAAGCUCAUCAAGUGACGGUAACUACCCAGAAAGGGACGGCUAACUACGUG